This 413-nucleotide ribosomal RNA is filed under the name uncultured bacterium. RNAcentral describes it as "bacterial SSU rRNA". It matches the Rfam family "Bacterial small subunit ribosomal RNA", at positions 360 to 773 of the family's 1533-position model. The record is from RNAcentral.
AAUCUUGCGCAAUGGCCGAAAGGCUGACGCAGCGACGCCGCGUGUGGGAUGAAGCAUUUCGGUGUGUAAACCACUGUUGCCCGGGACGAACAACCUGUUUCGACAGGUCUGACGGUACCGGGUGAGGAAGCACCGGCUAACUCCGUGCCAGCAGCCGCGGUAAUACGGAGGGUGCGAGCGUUGUCCGGAAUCACUGGGCGUAAAGCGCGUGUAGGCGGAUGGGCAAGUCUGCUGUGAAAGCUCCCGGCUUAACUGGGAGAGGUCGGUGGAAACUGCCAAUCUGGAGGACGGUAGAGGUAGGUGGAAUUCCCGGUGUAGUGGUGAAAUGCGUAGAGAUCGGGAGGAACACCUGUGGCGAAGGCGGCCUACUGGGCCGGACCUGACGCUGAGACGCGAAGGCGUGGGGAGCGAAC